This 269-nucleotide ribosomal RNA is filed under the name uncultured soil bacterium. Its description in RNAcentral is "partial 16S ribosomal RNA". It matches the Rfam family "Bacterial small subunit ribosomal RNA", at positions 26 to 282 of the family's 1533-position model. The record is from RNAcentral.
AGAAUCAACGCUGGCGGCGUGCCUAACACAUGCAAGUCGAACGCGAAAGCCCCGCAAGGGGUAAGUAGAGUGGCAAACGGGUGAGUAACACGUGGGUGACCUGCUUUCGAGUGGGGGAUAACGUCCCGAAAGGGACGCUAAUACCGCAUAACAUCCUGCCUUUUAAGAGGUGGACAUCAAAGCUGGGGACCGCAAGGCCUAGCGCUUGAAGAGGGGCCCGCGCCUGAUUAGCUAGUUGGUGGGGUAAUGGCUCACCAAGGCAACGAUCA